UUGGAGGGCAAGUCUGGUGCCAGCAGCCGCGGUAAUUCCAGCUCCAAUAGCGUAUAUUAAAGUUGUUGCAGUUAAAAAGCUCGUAGUUGAACCUUGGGCCUGGCUGGCCGGUCCGCCUCACCGCGUGCACUGGUCCGGCCGGGCCUUUCCCUCUGCGGAACCCCAUGCCCUUCACUGGGUGUGGCGGGGAAACAGGACUUUUACUUUGAAAAAAUUAGAGUGCUCAAGGCAGGCCUAUGCUCGAAUACAUUAGCAUGGAAUAAUAGAAUAGGACG
This 275-nucleotide ribosomal RNA is filed under the name uncultured Ascomycota. RNAcentral describes it as "partial 18S ribosomal RNA". It matches the Rfam family "Eukaryotic small subunit ribosomal RNA", at positions 548 to 829 of the family's 1831-position model. The record is from RNAcentral. Lineage: Eukaryota; Fungi; Ascomycota.